Molecule: ribosomal RNA, 866 nt
Filed under: Hypotrachyna mcmulliniana
Lineage: Eukaryota; Fungi; Ascomycota; Lecanoromycetes; Lecanorales; Parmeliaceae
Description: SSU rRNA
Rfam family: Bacterial small subunit ribosomal RNA
Source: RNAcentral
UGGAGGAUGUAUAGCAAUAGCUAGUUGCAUCAUAGUAAAUAUGAUGCAAGAUCGACUAUGUUGAAUAAAAUUCUAGGUAUGAUUAUGAUAAUGACAUUGUCUGCCUAUAUGUCUUGACCAAAUUACGUGCCAGCAGUCGCGGGAAUACGUAGAAGACCAGUGUUAUUCAUGUUUAAUCGGUUUAAAGGGUACCUAGACGGCAGAUCAAGCUUUCCGAGCAGAAAAAAGAAUAAAAAAGAAGAAAUAAAAACAGAAUAUAGUAAAAAGGACUAAUUUGCUAGAGUUACUUACGAUGGGGCUUUAAAGUACUGCUGGUGUAGAGAUGAAAUCCUAUUAUACCUAAGUUCGAAAGAAUAAUAAUGGCACAGGUAUAGGCGAAGGCAUCCCCUUAUGUGAUAACUGACGUUGAGGGACGAAGGCUUUUAACAGCGAACGGGAUUAGAUACCCCAUUAGUGGAAGCAGUAAAUGAUGAAUGUCAUAGAUUAGCUAGAUAGGUUCAUUCUAUAAAUGAAAGUGUAAGCAUUCCACCUCAUGAGUAAUAUGGCAACAUUGGAAUUGAAAUCAUUAGACCGUUUCUGAAACCAGUAGUGAAGUAUGUUGUUUAAUUUGAUGAUCCGCAAAAAACCUUACCACAAUUUGAAUAUAUAUAUUUUUUUUUUAUUGUAUCGCUAUUAAUUUUCUUCUCUUUACACAAACAUGACACAAUCAUAUAAGAAAUGAGGAAAUAUAUUAAUAAAGAAGCAAUAAGAUAUAUUUACAAGCGCUGCACGGUUGUCUUCAGUUAAUGUCGCGAGAUUUUGGUUAGAUCCAUUAAAUUAACGUAAACCCUUACUUUAUUUUUAGAUAGAGUUGUUCCCCACUAUAU